Molecule: non-coding RNA, 4007 nt
Organism: Chiloscyllium plagiosum (whitespotted bambooshark)
Lineage: Eukaryota; Metazoa; Chordata; Chondrichthyes; Orectolobiformes; Hemiscylliidae
Source: RefSeq, a predicted model, not a curated record
UUGAGAGAUCACAACAUGGCUGCGCCCGUCGUGUUAUCGAGAUGGAGCUGAGCCUUUGAUGUGAGAAGCGGUUUGUUUAUUUUUAACUUUAAAAAUCUGCUGGACUCCCGAAGUGUAAAAGUGGACAAGAAGCACGCCAUCACCACUGCAAAGAUUGCUGCGAACUUAAUCUAUUUUCAUGGGGAUCCUGGAUCUGAGUUGUGAACGUUACUGACCGCCAACUCCAGUGAACACUAGCUUUUCAAUGGGAGAAGAAUUAUACUGGUCUGACAGCUUUGUGCUUUGAAAUGGAGAAGGAUUAACUGAAGGACUUCACUUGUGCAUCUCCAAACGAUGGAAUUCUGAAAAAUUGUUCCAGAAAAAGAAACAUCCACUCUGCAAGAACUUUGUCCAUCCACUUUGGCACCUUGUAUACUUCAAUCAGACCUUCUAAACUUCAGGUCAAAACUGUUCAACCUCUUUUCAUAAGAUAAACCACUCAUCUCUGAAAUCAAUCUACUGAAUCUCCUCUGAACUGCCUCCAGUGUAAUUGCACCCUCCUCACAAUUGCAGCCUCAGAAUAUGAUGAUUAAAAGCACUGCGGAGCUGAGAAGCAUUUUCUGCUGUGAAGAUUUUGUCAGUGUUUAAAAAGAAUAGAAUCCAGAAACCAAGACCACUAUUCAAACUCCAGCUUCAAACCAGUAUCAGAAUUUAAAAUCAUUGUUGAAACUCCAGUUUCUAUGAGUGAAGGUGCUUAGCUCAGCUGCCUGGAUGGCUGGUGUGCAAGCAAAGUGAUGGCUUCGAUUCACACACCAGCUGCAGUUACCGUGAAGAUUGUCCUUCUCAACUUGUACUGAGGUCUGGUGAACCUCAGGGCAAAAGACCAUCUCUCUGUACUGAGGGAGCAGUUACGUUUUAUCUAAUAUCAGAGUCUCAGACCACUGUACAAACUUCAGCUCCUACACAAAAUCAAUGUCUAAGACUACUGCUUAAGCCCCAGCUUCUACCCAAUAACAGAGUCUAAGAUCAUUGCUUAAACCCCUGUUUUCAAUCAAUAUAAAACUGCAAGGUCACCGAUGAAGUGAGCAUUAUUUUUGGUUUUUACAAAUCUUUAUAAUUUUAAAUUGAUGCUUUAGAAAGCAUCUUAUGGGCAGAGUUUUCUAAACUGUAGCAUUAUUAGAGUGAUAAAUAGAGAAUGCAUAAAUGAAUGAAUAAAUAGAGAAUCUCUUUCCGUGGCUCUUUUAACUUUCGGGUUCUCCAGCAAAUUAGAGGAGACAAAUCUGUUGAAGGAAGACAUUUUUAUUCAAAUAGCGGAACUGGACAUGGAAUUUUGAAGCUGUAAAAACCAUUAGAAUGGAAUAGACCUGGGAAGAUUUCUCCCUGGUUGCGGGUUCUGUAGGACUGUUAUGAUUUUCCCAAUGAUGGAAGGAAGAGGACACCAUGACCAGUCAAGCACAGUGGAUGGAAGCCGAUGUGUGACCCUUCAGCCUGGAGACUGUGCAUCAAGAGGGCCCAGGGCCUCGGAAAGGUGGAAAAUGUGAAUGGCAUGGGAAUUUCCCAAUGCUGAGACCACACUGAAUUCCUCAGGGUUCUCCUGCAAGCACUCCUUAACUCAGUGCACCUUGCAACCCCACCCAUUCAUCUCUCUUCAGGUAGCUAUCCAAACCUUAAACUCAUCUCAACAUUAAACAGUCUCUCACCCUAAUAUUCUGGUAUCCAUGCCUCCUAGUCCCAAACCCUUCAAAAACUGUGUUCUUCCCUCCUAUCUACAUAAGCCAAUGCUUCCAUUAUAACUCUUGAGUUUCUCCCAAUGGAGGAAUAAAGCACACAAGCUUGGAAAGAGAUUCUUUUGUAUAUAACAGUAGUUUUAAGGAAGGUUAUUUUAUCAAACAGAAUUUAGUGUGUUCUGAAGUGGGAAGGAAGUGGCUAGACUAUUUUCCUCUGUUUUUUCAAUACAUCAUCCUCUACCCAUUUGAACUGUUUUACAUUUAAAUCUUUAUCCAUCUUAAGUUGGAAGGGAGAAAGUACACACCAAUUUUCUAACAAAUCUCUUAUUGCAACUCCUUAGCCCCAGCAGAAAACAUAGUUUUGCUUUUCUGAUACCUUUAGUUUUUCCUUUCAUUGGAACUACUUCGUUUUCUCACCUAAUAAACUGGCCAAAUUCAGAUUCUUCACACAGGUGAUGUAUAUUGCUAUAUCAGCACAGUUGAAACAUGUUCAGAUAAUAAUGCACAAUUGCCUUAAAUAUGGCAAUAUCAUUUUUUAUUUAAAACAAAGAAAACCCCUAGGACUUUUAGUUUCCACUCAUACCAAGAUUUUGUUAGGAAGUUACAAAGAUCAUGAAGUCCCACACUCUUUUCCCCCAUUUCCCCCUUCCUCAGCCAUUGUUCUCAGAGCUCUAUUUCUAACCUGCUUUCAUCUGAAAUCUUGGUCAUUGAGACAGUUUCAAAGUGCAUUUAAUUUUGGAAGGGAGAGGUUGUCGAAUUUUAAUGGAAAAAAAACACAUUUCAAUGUUUGAGUGCUUCAAAUGUUCCAGUCCUUUAAUGGUUCCAAGAAUUUCCACAGGAAUGCCCAAUAGCACAUAUCUCUUUCAUAUUACACUGCUGACAGCUGAUAUUUCACUCAUGGUAUUAGAAUAUUCUGGAUAAUAUAAUAUCUAACAGAUUUUUAAUUUUCAUUAAAGAACAAAAUACUGAAUUAUUAAAUCUGUUCAAUUAUUUUUAUAUGGUUGCUUCACCCAAGAGGUGAUUUGGGGAAUUAAGUUGGUUGUAAUAACCUCAAGCAAUACAAAUUUUUAAAUUUCUGUCUAGUUAAACACAUAGUGUGAGCCAAAAGUCGAGUAGGUAUGAUUCACAAAGAAAGAUUCCUACAAUAACCCCGCUGUAAUUGACUGCUUAAGUGUCAUUGAUUCUUUCCAGAUACAACACUAUAAUAAUUGAUAUAUGCAUAAGGAUUGAAUUCUAGUGCUCUCAUGACUCUGAGACUUGCUUGGAAAUGUGAUUUUCAACAAAACUCAAGUUUAUUGAAGUCAAAUGAAAACUGUUUCAUUGGAGGAGGCUCCUACUUCUAUCUUGUGUGUAUGUAAUUUUCAGUGGGCCAUGAGGGAUGACAGAAGAAUGGGAUAUUUUCAUUGUUUGUGAUUACAGCAGGUUUAACUUCCUGCUGUCAAUUGGGGAAGUGGAAUCCGAACAAAAGGGGGCAUUUUAAAAAAGAAAACAUAGGCCAUAAUUAGUAUUGAUCACCUUUCUGAUUCAGUAACUUGCUUUUAUAUUCAGGUAGGGCCAAUGGAAUGAAAGCUUUCACUCAAAGAUGUAACAAAUCUAUCAAAUUAGAGUGGACAAUUCCAAUGUGGUUGUGAGAGCAAUUCAGUCACCAGAAUUAAAAUUGAUAAAAUUGUCAAGGAAAAUUAACAAUCAUGCCCAGUCAUUUAGAUAUACAAUUCUAAUGACAUAUUAUUGAAAAGAUGUUGUCUCUAUCCAGCCUAUGCUAAAUAUAACCUAAAAGUGAGCUGAAUAUACUUUGAAUCACUGAUAUCCCUUUUGGAAAUUAUAAAAUUUACACCCAUGUAUUAAGAAAACCAAACGAACCAUGGAUGCUGUAAAUCGGAAACGAAAAUAAAAGUUGCUGGAAAAGCUCAUCAGGUCUGGCAGCAUUGUGAAGAGAAAUCAGAGUUAACAUUUUGGGUUGGGUGACUCUUCCUUAGUUCUAAGUUAUCUCUCUCUCUCUGUCUCUCUAAGGCCCUGUGUAUUAACAUACAAAUUUCUGUGUACGCAAGGGCAUCACACUUCAAACCAGAUUGAAACAAAAAAAACAGAAUUGCUGGAGAAAUUCAGUUCGGGCAACAUCUGUCAAGAAUGCAGAGCUAUCACUUUUUCAGGUUCAAUAACCUAUCUUCAGAACUGAUGGUGGCUAGGUAAAGGUGGUAUGCCAUGCGAUAGGUAGAGAUGGAGUUCACACGCGCACAGAGAGAGAGAGUCAUAGAGAUGUACAGCACGGAAACAGACCCAGUGGUCCAACCUGUACAUGCC